This 482-nucleotide ribosomal RNA is filed under the name Limosilactobacillus fermentum. RNAcentral describes it as "bacterial SSU rRNA". It matches the Rfam family "Bacterial small subunit ribosomal RNA", at positions 82 to 535 of the family's 1533-position model. The record is from RNAcentral. Lineage: Bacteria; Bacillati; Bacillota; Bacilli; Lactobacillales; Lactobacillaceae.
ACGCGUUGGGAGCUCUCCCAUAUGGUCGACCUGCAGGCGGCCGCGAAUUCACUAGUGAUUGGAAACAGGUGCUAAUACCGUAUAACAACGUCGUUCGCAUGAACAACGCUUAAAGAUGGCUUCUCGCUAUCACUUCUGGAUGGACCUGCGGUGCAUUAGCUUGUUGGUGGGGUAAUGGCCUCCCAAGGCGAUGAUGCAUAGCCGAGUUGAGAGACUGAUCGGCCACAAUGGGACUGAGACACGGCCCAUACUCCUACGGGAGGCAGCAGUAGGGAAUCUUCCACAAUGGGCGCAAGCCUGAUGGAGCAACACCGCGUGAGUGAAGAAGGGUUUCGGCUCGUAAAGCUCUGUUGUUAAAGAAGAACACGUAUGAGAGUAACUGUUCAUACGUUGACGGUAUUUAACCAGAAAGUCACGGCUAACUGCGUGCCAGCAGCCGCGGUAAUACGAUAAUCGAAUUCCCGCGGCCGCCAUGGCGGCCG